GCGUUCUUAGCUCAGUUGGUAGAGCAACUGACUCUUAAUCAGUGGGUCCAGGGUUCGAGCCCCUGAGAGCGUA
Molecule: transfer RNA, 73 nt
Filed under: Bacteroidales bacterium
Lineage: Bacteria; Pseudomonadati; Bacteroidota; Bacteroidia; Bacteroidales
Also listed under: 1 other name
Description: tRNA-Lys
Rfam family: tRNA
About the family: Transfer RNA (tRNA) molecules are approximately 80 nucleotides in length. Their secondary structure includes four short double-helical elements and three loops (D, anti-codon, and T loops). Further hydrogen bonds mediate the characteristic L-shaped molecular structure. tRNAs have two regions of fundamental functional importance: the anti-codon, which is responsible for specific mRNA codon recognition, and the 3' end, to which the tRNAs corresponding amino acid is attached (by aminoacyl-tRNA synthetases). tRNAs cope with the degeneracy of the genetic code in two manners: having more than one tRNA (with a specific anti-codon) for a particular amino acid; and 'wobble' base-pairing, i.e. permitting non-standard base-pairing at the 3rd anti-codon position.
Source: RNAcentral